RNAcentral lists this long non-coding RNA (2176 nucleotides) under Medicago truncatula (barrel medic). Its description in RNAcentral is "long non-coding RNA (MTRU_LNC004485)". Lineage: Eukaryota; Viridiplantae; Streptophyta; Magnoliopsida; Fabales; Fabaceae. The record is from RNAcentral.
UGAGCCAAGAUACACCCUAGAUGAUCAUAACUUUGGACGCUUGUGAGAACUCUCUCUCCAAGGUGCACCAAAGGUCCACAAAUCUCUGAGCCUCCAACUUUACAUUGUCAUCAUUAUCUGAUUCCAAAAUGUAGAAAAAGGUUAUAUAUAUGUAUAACAUGUAUCAAGUCUACUAAAACAUAUCAGUACGUGGCAUCCAAAUAGCCAACAAAUAUUAAAAUGGGGUAUACAAAAUGAUAGAAAUUAGGGUUUAUUGGCGAAGGCUAAUUUCUUGUAGCUCUCCUAUGUCUUUGUAAGAAACUCUUUGUUAGUGAAUUGGAGAGAUCUAUCUCCUCCAGACAUAUGUCAAAUUUGGAUCAAACUGGCGGAGCAAAUAUCGUCAUGUUACAUACGGAUUUUAUACGAUGUUUAAAAACUUUAAAAAUCAUUUGCUACCAUAUCAAAUAUUCUUCUUCUCAAUUAGGAAUCCAUACUUCUUCUAAAUUAGGAAUCCUAACAUGCAGAUGAAGAAUUGGUAUGAUUGUUCUAAUACAAGGUUAAAGGAGCUUUAAAUGUUGAUGGGUGAGCAAGAAGCAAGGAUUGAAGUUAGGGUUUCAAGAAUUUAGAGAAGCUAUAUUAUUUAUUGAUGCUUGUUGGGGUAUGUUCUAUUUAGUGAUCCUUGUUCUUGGUAUACCCCUUUUACUACUUAAAAAACUGCAGUUCUAAAAAGUGUUGUGCAGAUCAGUGCAUGAUUUUUACUAAAUUAGUGCCUUUGAAUAUUAAUAUGGGAACAAUUGUAUUGUGUUCUUGUGUGAACUGUAUAUCUUCAAUAAAACCUACAAAAUUUUAGGAAUAAUAUAGAGACUAUGAUCUAUGCAUCUUCAUAAGUAGAUAUGAGCAAGUUUUCUAGAUACCUUAGGAUCAUAGUAAUGUGUUAGUGAACCCUUAAACAUGUAAUAAAGAUUAUGUUGACCUAUGUUGAAGUAUUAAAUCAAGUAAACCAUUAAUAUAUAUUGGGAAGUUAAGGUUAUGAUAUGUUUAAGAACUUAGGAAUUAGAUAAGAAAAUGAAUAGCCAUAAGUGGAAAAUCUUAAAUAUGCUAAUGGAAAUAGUGAGAGUGCCUUAGAAUUGAUUACUUUGGAAUAAGGAAAGUUAGAAAGAUCAACAUUGCAAUGGCUUGUAUAAAUAGUGAUUGAUGUGGUUAUUGUUGUAAUUGUCAUAUGAUCGAAUUUGAUUAAUUAGAAAUGUUUAAAAUUGAUCUUAGAAGUUAUCCUUAAUAUAAGAGGUGAGAUAAGAGUACUAUAUUGUCAUUAGCUGCUUUAUGUAUGAAUAUAUAUUACAUAUAUAAUUGGUUGAUAAUAAAUUGUGAGGGUAACAUCGGAAAGGGUUUGAUUCCUCCCGAUGGAAAAUAUACCGGAAAGGGUCUGAUUCCACCCGAUGGGCGGAGCCGGAGACCCCUGAGAACUCUCACUCUCAGAAUAUUCGGAGCUAAAAUUGACAAGAUAUUUAUAUAUUAUGUGCUAAACUUGGGUGCGAAAUCCCGGACGCACAGCUAAAAGUGCUAAGAUUGUUUGUUAAUGAUGAAAACUCUUGGACUAAUCUAAGAUCUUAGUAUGUUAGCAGUUAGACCUUUCGGGGUUUUAGUUUAAGGAACUCGCUAAGACACUAUGUCUCACCCCAUUUAGUUUAUGUUCUCGGAUAAACGCGAAGCAAGGCAAGGAUACAAUGCUUAGCUGUUGAAGAUUAGCCAAUACCCAAUCAUUUGUUUUCUAAUACCCAAUCAUCAUAAAAUUAGCUCAAAUGUUUAUCUAUUUAUAGCACAUUAAAAAUUAAGGUUUUCACUUGACCAAAAUAUAAGAUAAAAUUAAGGUUUUCAAUCAAUUCUCUUAGGGUUACGAAAUCUUAAUAGAAAAACAACAGUUAAGACUUAUUAAGGUUGUCUCUAAUCUCUUUCUUCCUCCUCCUAUGUUGUUUUUUCCUUUUCUCUCUCUAUUUGCUUUCUUUUGUUUUUUUAAUGUAAAAUGAAGAGAUAUUUUAACAAAAUAUUGAAUAUGCAAUUAUAUGACAUAUGGCAUAAUUAGUAUUGAUAUAUGAUGGUAAAUUGUGCACCUUGUAAUGAUCGAUCUAAUGGCCAUCAGAGCGAUGUUGCUGCAAAGCUUGAAGAAUUAGGGUUGAAAGCUCUUCUUCCUUAGUAAUGC